AGGAUGAAUGCUGGCGGCGUGCCUAAUACAUGCAAGUCGAGCGGCAGCGCGAGUAGUUUACUACUUGGCGGCGAGCGGCGGACGGCUGAGUAACGCGUGGGAACAUGCCCCAAAGUGAGGGAUAACGCACCGAAAGGUGUGCUAAUACCGCAUAUGGUCUUCGGAUUAAAGGAUUUAUCCGCUUUUGGGGAGUGGCCCCGCGUACGAUUAGAUUGUUGGUGAGGUAACGGCUCACCAAGUCGACGAUCGUUAACUGGUCUGAGAGGAUGAUCAGUCAGACUGGAACUGAGACACGGUCCAGACUCCUACGGGAGGCAGCAGUAAGGAAUCUUCCACAAUGGGC
Molecule: ribosomal RNA, 343 nt
Filed under: uncultured bacterium
Lineage: Bacteria
Description: SSU rRNA
Rfam family: Bacterial small subunit ribosomal RNA
Source: RNAcentral